GAUGAACGCUCGCUACAGGCUUAACACAUGCAAGUCGCGGGGCAGCAUGGGGGUUGCUUGCCAUCCCUGAUGGCGACCGGCGCACGGGUGAGUAACGCGUAUCCAACCUGCCCUUCACCACGGGAUAACCCGGCGAAAGUCGGACUAAUACCGUAUGUUGUCCAUUGACGGCAUCCGAUUUGGACGAAAGGUUUGGCGGUGAAGGAUGGGGAUGCGUCCGAUUAGCUGGACGGCGGGGUGACGGCCCACCGUGGCGACGAUCGGUAGGGGUUCUGAGAGGAAGGUCCCCCACACUGGAACUGAGACACGGUCCAGACUCCUACGGGAGGCAGCAGUGAGGAAUAUUGGUCAAUGGGCGUAAGCCUGAACCAGCCAAGUAGCGUGCAGGAUGACGGCCCUAUGGGUUGUAAACUGCUUUUAUGCGGGGAUAAAGUGGCCCACGUGUGGGUUUUUGCAGGUACCGCAUGAAUAAGGACCGGCUAAUUCCGUG
Molecule: ribosomal RNA, 490 nt
Filed under: uncultured bacterium
Lineage: Bacteria
Description: partial 16S ribosomal RNA
Rfam family: Bacterial small subunit ribosomal RNA
Source: RNAcentral